GACGAACCGUGCGAACGUUGUUCGGAAUCACUGGGCUUAAAGGGUGCGUAGGCGGGCUGCCAAGUUCGGGGUGAAAUCCUCCGGCUCAACCGGAGAACUGCCUCGAAUACUGGCGGUCUCGAGGGGGGUAGGGGCAUGCGGAACUAUGGGUGGAGCGGUGAAAUGCGUUGAUAUCCAUAGGAACUCCGGUGGCGAAGGCGGCGUGCUGGACCCCUUCUGACGCUGAGGCACGAAAGCCAGGGGAGCAAACGGG
Molecule: ribosomal RNA, 253 nt
Filed under: uncultured bacterium
Lineage: Bacteria
Description: partial 16S ribosomal RNA
Rfam family: Bacterial small subunit ribosomal RNA
Source: RNAcentral